RNAcentral lists this ribosomal RNA (354 nucleotides) under uncultured bacterium. RNAcentral describes it as "bacterial SSU rRNA". It matches the Rfam family "Bacterial small subunit ribosomal RNA", at positions 1 to 334 of the family's 1533-position model. The record is from RNAcentral.
GACGUGACUUCAGAGUUUGAUCCUGGCUCAGGAUGAACGCUGGCGGCGUGCAUAACACAUUCAAGUCGAACGGAGUUUUGAGAAUUAAUCCUUCGGGAGGCGUUUUUAGAACUUAGUGGCGGACGGGUGAGUAACGCGUGAGCAACCUGCCUCUGUGAGGGGGAUAACGUCUGGAAACGGACGCUAAUACCGCAUGACGUAUGAGAUUCGCAUGUUUUUCAUACCAAAGAUUUAUCGCACAGAGAUGGGCUCGCGUCUGAUUAGGUAGUUGGUAAGGUAACGGCUUACCAAGCCUGCGAUCAGUAGCCGGACUGAGAGGUUGAACGGCCACAUUGGAACUGAGAUACGGUCCAG